GAUGAACGCUGACAGAAUGCUUAACACAUGCAAGUCGACUCGAGUCUUCGGACUUGGGUGGCGCACGGGUGAGUAACGCGUAAAGAACUUGCCUCUUAGACCGGGACAACAUUUGGAAACGGAUGCUAAUACCGGAUAUUAUGGUUUCUUCGCAUGGGGGAAUCAUGAAAGCUACAUGCGCUAAGAGAGAGCUUUGCGACCCAUUAGCUCGUUGGUGAGGUAACGGCUCACCUAGGCGACGAUCCCUAGCUGGUCUGAGAGGAUGACCAGCCACACUGGAACUGAGACACGGCCCAG
This 297-nucleotide ribosomal RNA is filed under the name uncultured bacterium. Its description in RNAcentral is "partial 16S ribosomal RNA". It matches the Rfam family "Bacterial small subunit ribosomal RNA", at positions 28 to 334 of the family's 1533-position model. The record is from RNAcentral.